AUUGAACGCUGGCGGCAUGCCUUACACAUGCAAGUCGAACGGCAGCACGGGAGCUUGCUCCUGGUGGCGAGUGGCGAACGGGUGAGUAAUACAUCGGAACGUACCCUGAAGUGGGGGAUAACGUAGCGAAAGUUACGCUAAUACCGCAUAUUCUGUGAGCAGGAAAGAGGGGGAUCGCAAGACCUCUUGCUUUAGGAGCGGCCGAUGUCGGAUUAGCUAGUUGGUGAGGUUAAAGGCUCACCAAGGCGACGAUCCGUAGCGGGUCUGAGAGGAUGAUCCGCCACACUGGGACUGAGACACGGCCCAGACUCCUACGGGAGGCAGCAGUGGGGAAUUUUGGACAAUGGGCGCAAGCCUGAUCCAGCCAUGCCGCGUGAGUGAAGAAGGCC
RNAcentral lists this ribosomal RNA (389 nucleotides) under uncultured bacterium. Its description in RNAcentral is "bacterial SSU rRNA". It matches the Rfam family "Bacterial small subunit ribosomal RNA", at positions 30 to 416 of the family's 1533-position model. The record is from RNAcentral.